This is a non-coding RNA of Vicugna pacos (alpaca), 1068 nucleotides long. The record is from RefSeq and is a predicted model, not a curated record. Lineage: Eukaryota; Metazoa; Chordata; Mammalia; Artiodactyla; Camelidae.
CUUUGACCAGCUUCUUCCCCUACCCUGUUUCGCUGCCUGCCUCUCCUCCUGACAGCACUCUUUCAACAAAUACGUCACAGGAGAAUCCACUUCUCAAGCUCCACUUUAAGGGAGCCUCGCAUAUAACACAGGCACCUGGACUGAUAGGUUAGAUGCUGUCCUGAAUGAAAAGUGGAGUUGAGGAUGGCUCCUUUGGCUGCAAGACCUUCAAGGUUCACCGGGUCCUCCCCUUCUAUACAACUCUGUGCCCCAAACCUGGCCAAGGUGACAUUGAGGGCUUUGAAUGAGGCCCUUGGAAGUAACCAAACAGCCUAGAGCUUCAAAACAGUGGAAGGAUGCUCUCCCAGGACUGGAUGACAGCCUUACACCCUUGGACUCCACAGCCCAGGUCCUGCCAUUGCCCUUCCUCCUAGGGGCUAUGGCAUGGAGGCCCCUGGUCUUCCUGCUGCCCCACCCCGGGACUGCUCUGAUGUGUCUAUACCCUUGGAAGACCGUGGCGCCCAGAACUGCGUUCCUGCCCAGCGGGCUGAGAUGUCACGAAGGUGAGUCAGCUCACACCCAUGAUAACAUCUACACAGCCAGCCUGGGAGGCAGCUGCUCCUUGCACUGAAGGGAUGGGUUUGGGACACAGAGGAGCCUAUUCUGUCCCGGGGUGGGGAGUGGAGGAACAUCAAGAGAAAAUGGUCCCCUUUCUGAGAACAAACUUUUGAGAAAGGCGGAUCUCAGUCUGACUCUUACAGAAACUGGGCCUUCAGGAACCUGCCUGGACAGGUGGGGUAGGAAGGACUGGCCAGGAAGGGGCAUGGCUGUUGUGGAAACAGGCUUUGUGCUUUCUGAAGCUGAGAGGAUGAAGAAGGUUGAUGAUGCCAGUGUCAGUGUUCAGAGGGUUCUGAUCUUCCUGACUGCUGGGCAGGGCCCCUGGGCUGGAGCCAGGAUCCCUGGAUUCUAUCCCCAGCUCCGUUGAAAGACUUUUUUGGUGUUGGACCAAUCAUAUCUCCUCUCUGGGCCUCAAUGACCCAUCUGUGGGAUGACGGGCUGGGGGUCCCUCAGCCUCUCAGAGAGACAGCA